RNAcentral lists this ribosomal RNA (435 nucleotides) under Triticum aestivum (bread wheat). Its description in RNAcentral is "partial small subunit ribosomal RNA". Lineage: Eukaryota; Viridiplantae; Streptophyta; Magnoliopsida; Poales; Poaceae. The record is from RNAcentral.
AUGCCUUUUGGACUCAAGAGCGCCCAGGUGACUUAUCAACGGUGUGUGCAGAAUUGCCUUCAUAAUCAGAUUGGGCGCAAUGUUCAUGCGUAUGUGGACGAUAUUGUGGUGAAGUCCAGGAAAGCAGAGACACUCAUAGCUGACUUGCAGGAGACUUUUGAUAAUUUGAGGGUUUAUAAGAUGAUGCUUAAUCCAGCUAAGUGUGUUUUUGGUGUACCAGCAGGCAAGCUCCUGGGUUUUCUGGUGUCUAACAGGGGCAUUGAAGCUAAUCCGGAAAAGAUCAAGGCUAUUACGUCCCUGGCUAAACCGGCAUGUAUCAAUGACGUUGAACGACUGGCGGGUCGUAUUGCAGCGCUAAGCCGGUUUAUCAGUCGGUUGGGGGAGAAGGCGAUCCCGCUUUAUCAGAUGAUGAAGAAGACAAACAAUUUUGUCUAG